Molecule: non-coding RNA, 4210 nt
Organism: Pelodiscus sinensis (Chinese soft-shelled turtle)
Lineage: Eukaryota; Metazoa; Chordata; Testudines; Trionychidae
Source: RefSeq, a predicted model, not a curated record
AUUUCCUCCACCCUCCCUCAGUGAGUUGAAGUGGGAAAGAGGCAGUGUUCUGCUGAUCUUUUAAAUUCUUAGUGAAGUUUCCCUGAUUUCCAGUGGCUGCUGCUGUUUGAGUUUGGUUUAGAACAGUGCUGAGGUUAUCCUGACAUUUCUGGGAUCACAUCCAGCGAAAAGGAAGAAGAAGAAAAAGAAAAGAUUGGGGUGAAAAGUGGGGAGAGGAACAGAAGGCUCCAGGAGGCUUCUUUUCUCAACAUUGCAUUCCUGUGUUUUGCCUCAGCCUGGAAAAUAUAUUAAUCCCAGGGCUUUUUCUCUUUGGAAACAAAGGAGCUAAACUAGAGAGUGGGGAGGAAAGGCGUGAUUAGAAGGAGCAUGGAGCUUUGAAAGAGAUUCAGAAACAACUGUGAGUUCAUUUUUAUUAGAUGAAAUGUGCCUCUCUGUGUCUGUGACUGAUAGAGAAACAAAACAGACCUGCAGGUAAAUGGAGCAGCAAAGAUCACAGGGAAAUUUACUUUUGCCUCAUCCCACUUUGUCACAAAGGUGAAGAAAGACAAAAAAGUAAAAGCUCCACAGUGAAUCAACAUUGUCCGGAGUCUGUUUUGUUACAUAAAAGUCAGUGAGCUGCAGCAAAACUCCAUGCAUGGCAUUGCUCUUCCUCUAAAGAAAGGGCUGGAUACACAUAUCUUGACGGGAAACUUUCCUGAGAGGUGGAUCGCACAAUGAACUGGACACCAAUUCUGAGUUUAGCCAUGCUGUGGGCAACGUGGCUAGCGUGCGACUCUGAGAAGACCGUGAGGCUAGCAGACAGAGGGAGCCACGGAAUUAGUAACGUGCCUUUCUCUCACAGGGCUAGCAACAGAUCGCUCUCCUUCCUGAGAAGGUCGGAGGCAUCUCAGGGGAAUUUCCAACGUCCUGUUGCCAAGAGGGAUACUCCAACAUCAAAAAAUGUACGGCCUGACCUGCUGCGAGAUGAAACACCUGCCCAGGCUAGGAAGAUUAAAGCUAGAGUGAGGCAGAUACAGAGACCCACCUCUGCGGCUAAACAGUCUCACCCUGAGAUGAUCAAGGAUGAGGAGAAGUCUGCUGCGUCUCGGUCACGAAUGAUACGUUUCCCUUCAGGAUCCAGUUCUCCUAAUGUCCUGGCUAGCUUUGCCGGUAAGAACAGAGUCUGGGUUAUCUCUGCUCCUCAUGCCUCUGAAGGCUACUACCGGCUCAUGAUGAGCCUGCUUAAGAGCGACGUCUACUGUGAACUGGCCGAGAGGCACAUCCAGCAGAUGGUGUUGUUCCAUGAGGAAGGGGAAGAAGGAGGGAAAGUCAGGAGGAUAACCAGUGAAGGGAAAAUCCUGGAGCAACCUUUAGAUCCCAGCCUCAUCCCUAAACUCAUGAGCUUUCUGAAACUGGAGAAAGGGAAAUUUGGCAUGGUGCUGCUAAAAAAAACCCUACAGGUGGAGGAAAGGUACCCUUACCCGGUAAGGCUAGAAGCCAUGUACGAAGUUAUUGACCAGAGCCCCAUCAGGAAAAUGGAGAAGAUGAGGCAGAAGGGCUUCAUCCAGAAAUGUAAAGCUGCCGGGGUGGAGGGUCAAGUAGUGGAGGAAGUUAACAAUGGAGGCGGCACCAGACCUACAUCGAGUGGUGGACAUGUUCAGCUGUCAGUAAAAAAGGAAGAGCCAAGGAGAAGCAAUGUUCAACCAACAAGGAGCAAAACAGUGAGGAAACUAAUCACAACCACAGUGGCUCCUCCUCCCCCUACAACGCGUGCCAGCACCCUCCCUCCUCCAACCACCACUACCCAGGCAGCCACCCGUACAGUGACAACGCUGAACAGACCUAUGACCACAGCCACAUCCCUUCCAACCACUCUGAAAACUUGGACCACAAAGUCACACACCACGUCCGACUCUCAUAGGCUGCCCACAGUGCCUGAGGCAACUGCCCCACGGGGCACAGACACUGAGGAUUUUUACUCCCCGGUGUGGAAUGAGAACCGCAGAGACAGGCAGUCUGGCCACCCGGAGAGACACCCAGUAGCCACCCGAAGACCUGGCAAAGUUGCUAGCUAUGAUAGCUACACAGAAGCUCCCACCUCUGCCUCCGAGCACUACACAAGGGCCAACACUGGUAGAUUUAAAGACAACCGUACAGACCGGAAGGACUUUAUCCACCGGGAUCCCAGUGUCAUGCCAGGUCAGCACAAACCCGCCAAAGCCAAGCCACCUAAAAAAAGAGUCCAGGAAAAGAUUCUGAGCAAUGAAUAUGAGGACAAAUAUGAACCAAGCAGGCCUGCUGUUCCCCACUUGGAGCAAGAGAUUGCAGCAGGGAAUAUCCCACCAAAGAAGGGAAAAGAGCCAAAAAAGCAUGACCGGCCAGAUAAACCUGAGAAGAAGAAGAAGAAGGAGAGACCCGACAAGCUGCAGAAGAGUGAGAAGCAGGCCAAGAAGAACAAAGCUGAGAAAAAGAACAAGCAGGACAAAGAUCGCAGCAAGAAAAACAAAAAGGGGAGCAGGACUGAGAACGAGGGCUACCUGAAGCCCAACACAAAGACUUUCAUUCAGCCCUCCAGGAAAUCAGUGACAAGCCUCCUGGAUUUUUUUGAAGGCAAACGGCGACUCAUUCUGAUCACGACGCCCAAGGCUGAUAACACCAUGUAUGUGCAACAGCGAGAUGAAUACCUGGAGAGUUUCUGCAAGAUGGCCACAAGGAAAGUCUCAGUCAUCACAAUUUUUGGCACCGUGAACAACAGCAGCAUGAAGAUUGACCACUUUCAGCUAGAUAAUGAGAAACCCAUGAAGGUAGUAGAGGAUGAGGACCUUGUGGACCAGCAACUCAUCAACGAGCUGAGGAAAGAAUAUGGGAUGACCUACAAUGACUUCUUCAUGGUGCUGACGGAUAUCGACAUGAGGGUCAAGCAAUAUUAUGAAGUGCCCAUUGCAAUGAAGUCUAUAUUUGAUUUGAUUGACACCUUCCAGUCACGAAUCAAAGAUAUGGAAAAACAGAAGAGGGACGGUAUUGUCUGCAAAGAUGACAAGAAACAGUCCCUGGAAAACUUCUUAUCCAGGUUCCGAUGGAGGAGGCGGCUGCUGGUGAUCUCUGCUCCCAACGAUGAGGACUGGGCCUAUUCCCAGCAGCUUUCUGCUCUCAGUGGACAGGCCUGUAAUUUUGGUUUGCGCCACAUAACCAUCCUCAAGCUGCUAGGACUUGGAGAAGAGAUCGGUGGGGUCUUAGAAUUAUAUCCCAUCAAUGGAAGCUCCAGUGUGGAGAGAGAAGAUCUCCCUGCUCACCUGGUGAAAGACAUCCGCAAUUAUUUCCAAAUCAGCCCUGAAUAUUUUUCCAUGCUUCUGGUUGGGAAAGAUGGAAACGUCAAAUCCUGGUAUCCUUCCCCAAUGUGGUCCAUGGUGAUCGUCUAUGAUUUGAUUGAUUCUAUGCAGCUCCGGCGACAGGAAAUGGCAAUUCAGCAAUCGCUGGGCAUGCGAUGCCCAGAAGAUGAGUAUGGUGGGUAUGGUUACCAUAGUUAUCACCAGGGAUACCAGGAAGGUUACCAAGAUGACUACCGUCACCAUGAAAGUUACCACCACGGAUACCCAUACUAAAUAGAGCAACUUAACCUUUGGCUGCUGCCUCUUGCCCUCAUCCUAAUAGCUGUUCAAGCCAUAAGUGGCCAGUCAAGAGCCUAAAUAAACAUUGCAUUUGCCUUUUUGAAAAUCCACAAGCCUUUACAAUGAAAUAGUUCAAACCAAUAACACUGAUGCUUUUUUUUUAGCAAUAAAGACUCCUCUGUAUUGUUUAACCCAUGUAAUCAGUGGACAUCACCAGUUGAAGUUUGUUUGCAUUAAACAAAAAUCCUUUCCCUCCCCUCUUGGCCAUGGACCUCAUACUGUAGCCAGGAUACAAACUGUACAAUAGAUAUUGUAAUGCUUUUUUUAUAUUUUUUUCAAGGAGAAAAACAAAGUAUAUUUAUUAGAAAGUGAGAAUUUUGUGUUGUGCGGAUGAACAGAUACAGAAGACCACAUCACAGGACUUCCCCACAGAAGGAGAUUUUAGCAAAGACAUGUGGGGCAUUCUCUCUUUUAUAAUAAUUUUUUAAAAACCUUUUUCACCUACCCUGUUUAAAAAGACUGUAUCUCUUUUAUAAUAGAUCAACUUUGUACUUAGCCGAGUUUCAUCCAUAACAUAACAAAAUGCAAUCGCGUCGCUGAGAAAUUUGAAUUUCAAGCAAAAA